Molecule: transfer RNA, 71 nt
Filed under: Capsicum annuum
Lineage: Eukaryota; Viridiplantae; Streptophyta; Magnoliopsida; Solanales; Solanaceae
Rfam family: tRNA
About the family: Transfer RNA (tRNA) molecules are approximately 80 nucleotides in length. Their secondary structure includes four short double-helical elements and three loops (D, anti-codon, and T loops).
Source: Rfam by way of RNAcentral
AUGAAUAUGGUCGAAUGGUAAAAUUUCUCUUUGCCAAGGAGAAGAUGUGGGUUCAAUUCCUUCUAUCCGCC